Molecule: long non-coding RNA, 1100 nt
Organism: Pyrus x bretschneideri (Chinese white pear)
Lineage: Eukaryota; Viridiplantae; Streptophyta; Magnoliopsida; Rosales; Rosaceae
Exons: 2
Source: RefSeq, a predicted model, not a curated record
GGUGCAAGGCUAUAUAGACAAGACAAGACGGUCGUCCAAUUAAUCUGUAUUUCAUCGAACUAAAGGGUGUGUGGUAGGACCUUGACAAGAGAUGUCCUAUUCAUAUGGUGUAUGGAGUGGACUAGAAAACUCGUAAAGAGGAACUUGCGAUGGGGUGUAUGAUUUCCAUGAUAGGUCAAAUAGUGGUUUCGACCAAGUUCGGAGUGAGAUUCUAAGGAUGAAAACUAUCCCCAGAAUCGAAGAAUAUUUCAAUUUGGUACGAUGUGAAUCCCAGAGGCAGGCCACUAUGAUGGGAACAAAGACUACAAUGGCAAGGCCCUCAAUGGCUAUGGCAACUAAGGCGCCUAGUUCUCAUCCACCGUAUAAUGGAAACUCUCAGUUAUUCCGUACCCAGGAAGAUAUCGACAAAGACAAACUCCAUUGCAAUCAUUGUAAUGGAACGAGACACAUUGAGAAUACCUGCUUUGAAAUUCACAGCUACCUAUAAUGGUACUGGGAGAGGAAGAAGGAGUUAAAGGCACGAAGGAACAAACGGAUGGGAUAAGCUCAAGUGGUAGCUGCUAGACCAGGAACAUCGUCAACUGCAGCAGGGGGACAAAGUGGGCCUACACGAGAAAGCUGAUGGGGGCAGAUAGGUUACUACUGUUGCAGCGAGGCAGCCUGGGCCCAAUCUGCCCAACCAAAUAACAGCAUCCCAAUAUACAAAGCAGACCUCAAAGGCAGCGUCCAAGGAUGAUGAGACCGGUCCACUUUUAUCCUUAAUCAAUCAAAUUUCAAUGGAUGAUAACUUGAGAGAUUCAGGAUAUCCAGACUUGGGCGAUAAUUGGGUAUGGUACUAAGAGAAGAAGGUUAUAUUAUGUGGAUGAUGUGUUGGUAAGUAGAGUAAAUCAAGUGCGCAGUAGUCACCCAAACAAGAAUAAGACAAUCUGGUUAUGGCAUCGUCGAUUAGGGCAUGUGUCUUUUGGUUAUUUGACAAAAUUGUUUACGUCUUUAUUUCAUGGCGUUUCAGACUCUGAUUUCCAGUGUAAUGAUUGCAUUCUUGCAAAAAGUCAUCAUACUUCUUAUCAUUUGAGUUUCAAUAAAAGAACAGUUCCUUUUUA